Diabrotica virgifera virgifera (western corn rootworm) is the source of this 883-nucleotide long non-coding RNA. RefSeq lists it as uncharacterized. The record is from RefSeq and is a predicted model, not a curated record. The transcript is spliced from 3 exons. Lineage: Eukaryota; Metazoa; Arthropoda; Insecta; Coleoptera; Chrysomelidae.
AAUAAUAUGUCAAAUUUAAAGAGUUUCCCAAGUUCAAUUAAUACAAUAUUAUAAACAUACAAAUGUAAUAAAAAUUAUUGUUCGCGAAUAUUCAAUUUGGAAUGCGAUUUUGUUAAUAAAAAAAAAUACUUAUAACUUAUGCAAAACCCAAGAGAGGCAUUUAUAUUUAUUUCUUUUGCGUUCAUUUUCAAAUUCGCCGUGCAUAUAUUUUUGUGCAUGGCGCUUGAGAGGGCAUCACGUGACUAAAAACGACCAACCAACGACCUCGCUUCGGCCAUCUUGGCAUCUUCAUCUUGGCCACCUUGCUUUGCCGUGGGUGGAUCGUUAUUUCUAUUAUUUGUGCUUUUUAAGAAUAUUUUUUUAAUUCGGAUACUUUUAUAAUAGCUUUAAUAGUAUUAUUAACAUAGUGAAUAAAAUGGUGUCCUGUUUUUAACGCAGUUGGAGUAGCAGAAACAAAUGUAGAUAAAAAAAUCUGCAGGAAUAACGUUUCAAUUAUGACAGAAGCUCCAAACAAAUGACUGUGAAUGAAAAGCCCUAUUAAAAGCUUUCCAGAAGAUCCUGCGAAGAAGACAUGAAGUAUAGAUCAGAUUUGUUAAUAGAGGAGUAUGUUCAAAACACUUUUUAGAAAAAGAUAUUGACAGAACUUCACUUUCAUCUGUUCGUUUAAGAGACUGUGCUGUUCCAAUAGCUUAUGUCACACAGAAUCAGCUGAGAGAAGUGGUCUACAAAAAACCAGAAAGGAAACAGAAUAUGUGGCUACGAAAAGCAAAAGAAAGGUUUACAAAGCAAAUGUGACACAUUUUUUUAUAAUAUUUAGGAAUGUCAGUAAAUUACAUUAAAAAAUGUAUGUAAAGAUUUUUUGCAAUAAAAAUGUUUAUAUUUA